AGUGAACGCUGGCGGUAGGCCUAACACAUGCAAGUCGAACGGCAGCACAGAGGAGCUUGCUCCUUGGGUGGCGAGUGGUGGACGGGUGAGGAAUACAUUGGAAUCUACUCUGUCGUGGGGGAUAACGUAGGGAAACUUACGCUAAUACCGCAUACGACCUACGGGAGAAAGCAGGGGAUCUUCGGACCUUGCGCGAUUGUAUGAGCUGAUGUCGGAUUAGCUAGUUGGCGGGGUAAAGGCCCACCAAGGCGACGAUCCGUAGCUGGUCUGAGAGGAUGAUCAGCCACACUGGAACUGAGACACGGUCCAGACUCCUACGGGAGGCAGCAGUGGGGAAUAUUGGACAAUGGGCGCAAGCCUGAUCCAGCCAUACCGCGUGGGUGAAGAAGGCCUUCGGGUUGUAAAGCCCUUUUGUUGGGAAAGAAAUCCAUCUGGUUAAUACCCGGGUGGGAUGACGGUACCCAAGGAAUAAGCACCGGCUAACUACGUGCCAGCCGCCGCGGUAA
RNAcentral lists this ribosomal RNA (506 nucleotides) under uncultured bacterium. RNAcentral's name for it is "partial 16S ribosomal RNA". It matches the Rfam family "Bacterial small subunit ribosomal RNA", at positions 29 to 523 of the family's 1533-position model. The record is from RNAcentral.